GAGGGAGGGAGACUGACCAUCACUGUCCUCGUCAAACUGCUGGCCAGCUUCCACAGCUCCAAACACAGCUGCAGGUGUUUUGGGCAGGAGUGUUUGGGGAGGAGUAUUUGGAGCUGCAGGUGUUUUGGGCAGGAGUAUUUGGAGCUGCAGGUGUUUUGGGCAGGAGUGUUUGGGGAGGAGUAUUUGGAGCUGCAGGUGUUUUGGGGAGGAGUAUUUGGAGCUGCAGGUGUUUUGGGGAGGAGUAUUUGGAGCUGCAGGUGUUUUGGGGAGGAGUAUUUGGAGCUGCAGGUGUUUUGGGGAGGAGUAUUUGGAGCUGCAGGUGUUUUGGGGAGGAGUAUUUGGAGCUGCAGGUGUUUUGGGGAGGAGUAUUUGGAGCUGCAGGUGUUUUGGGGAGGAGUAUUUGGAGCUGCCGGUGUUUUGGCGAGGAGUGUUUGGGGAGGAGUAUUUGGAGCUGCCGGUGUUUUGGCGAGGAGUGUUUGGGGAGGAGUAUUUGGAGCUGCAGGUGUUUUGGGGAGGAGUAUUUGGAGCUGCAGGUGUUUUGGGGAGGAGUAUUUGGAGCUGCAGGUGUUUUGGGGAGGAGUAUUUGGAGCUGCCGGUGUUUUGGUGAGGAGUGUUUGGGGAGGAGUAUUUGGAGCUGCAGGUGUUUUGGGGAGGAGUAUUUGGAGCUGCAGGUGUUUUGGGGAGGAGUAUUUGGAGCUGCAGGUGUUUUGGGGAGGAGUAUUUGGAGCUGCAGGUGUUUUGGGGAGGAGUAUUUGGAGCUGCAGGUGUUUUGGGGAGGAGUAUUUGGAGCUGCAGGUGUUUUGGGGAGGAGUAUUUGGAGCUGCAGGUGUUUUGGGGAGGAGUGUUUGGGGAGGAGUAUUUGGAGCUGCAGGUGUUUUGGGGAGGAGUAUUUGGAGCUGCAGGUGUUUUGGGGCGGAGUGUUUGGGGAGGAGUAUUUGGAGCUGCAGGUGUUUUGGGGCGGAGUGUUUGGAGCUGCAGGUGUUCUGGGGAGCUGCUCCUCAGUUCCAGUUGCCUUCUUCAGACAUAUGAAAUGUAGACUAUAUAGGACAAAGUGUGUUUUCAUUAGGAAGUGCUGCAACAUCUACAAACUGCAGCUUAUUGCCAACGGAAAAGAAAACUUUAUGCAGCAUCAGGUCCCUAGAUUGCACCAUGUGGAAGUGUUACUGGCAGGGUGUAGGGCUUAAAACAAAACACAUCCCUUUCUCUAGCAUCCUGCUUUGCUGUACAUAUUCCUGCAACAUGUAUCAACAUAAUGUGACUGUUUUGACAUUUUUUAUUACGGCAACAUAUGCCUGGUACUCAGUCUUCCCAUCAAAAUGGUUCCCGACUCCUCUCAAAGUUCAGCAUUUUGAUUGGUUCACUUGUCAGUCAUCUUUGCCAGCUCAGUAACACAAAGUACAGUGAAAGUACCUAACAAAGACUAAAUGUUUUUACAUAACAUUGUACUGUACUUGAGUAAUUGCAGUGAGAAACAUCAUAAAGGAAGCAGAUUAAUCCCUCGCUCUGCUUCUGUAAACACUCAAACACUGGAUUUAUGAAGCAAGGUGGUUUAAAAAAUGACCACACGUGAUGUGCAGUUGGAAUUGCUGUCCGCUAUGCAACUGUGACAUUGUUUUGAGGUUCUCCUCUUACUUAUUCAGUUGCAAAGGGAGCAGAAAAUGCAGUUACACUGUUGAGCAUUUCUAAAACCACCUCGAGACGAGACUUUAACGAGAGCUUUAGUAGCAAGUGAUUUUCAAACUAACUGUGUUAAUUUAAUCAAUCCAUUAAUGCUCCGAAAUUGAGUCGACGAGGUUGUAAAGAACACAUUUCUCAUUAAAAAGCUUAAUUGUCACAGGUCACGUACACCACUUCCUGUCUCAAC
Molecule: long non-coding RNA, 1864 nt
Organism: Polyodon spathula (Mississippi paddlefish)
Lineage: Eukaryota; Metazoa; Chordata; Actinopteri; Acipenseriformes; Polyodontidae
Exons: 5
Source: RefSeq, a predicted model, not a curated record